UUUAGAGGAAGUAAAAGUCGUAACAAGGUUUCCGUAGGUGAACCUGCGGAAGGAUCAUUAUCGAAAUUAUCGGUGAGGGUUGUAGCUGGCCUUUCGGGGCACGUGCACGCCCGAGCCCUUUAAUCCACUUUACACCUGUGAACCUAAUGUAGGUCGCCCCUCGAAAAGGUGGCCUACGUCUUAUCAUCAACCCAUCGUAUGUCUCAUAGAAUGUAAAUCAAUAUCCUCGCCUUAAAAAGGCGUUGAUAAACUUUAUACAACUUUCAACAACGGAUCUCUUGGCUCUCGCAUCGAUGAAGAACGCAGCGAAAUGCGAUAAGUAAUGUGAAUUGCAGAUUUUCAGUGAAUCAUCGAAUCUUUGAACGCACCUUGCGCUCCUUGGUAUUCCGAGGAGCAUGCCUGUUUGAGUGUCAUUAAAUUCUCAACUCCAAAGGGUUUCACGACCUCUUGGAGAUUGGACUUGGAGCGUGCCGGCGUCCACGUCGGCUCCUCUCAAAUGCAUCAGCGGAAUUCAAUCUUUGGGCUUCCGGAGUCAGUGUGAUAAUCAUGUUGCGCUGUCGUCGGAAUCCUCAGAGUCCGCUCAUAAUGGUCUUUGGACAAAUCAUCAUCAAAUUUGACCUCAAAUCAGGUAGGACUACCCGCUGAACUUAAGCAUAUCAAUAAGCGGAGGAAAAGAAACUAACAAGGAUUCCCCUAGUAACUGCGAGUGAAGCGGGAAAAGCUCAAAUUUAAAAUCUGGCGGUCUUUCGGCCGUCCGAGUUGUAAUCUGGAGAAGCGUUUAUCCGCGCUGGACCGUGUACA
Molecule: ribosomal RNA, 801 nt
Filed under: uncultured Piloderma
Lineage: Eukaryota; Fungi; Basidiomycota; Agaricomycetes; Atheliales; Atheliaceae
Description: eukaryotic LSU rRNA
Rfam family: 5.8S ribosomal RNA (bases 259-413)
Source: RNAcentral